RNAcentral lists this ribosomal RNA (655 nucleotides) under Gammarellus homari. RNAcentral describes it as "partial small subunit ribosomal RNA". It matches the Rfam family "Eukaryotic small subunit ribosomal RNA", at positions 1326 to 1775 of the family's 1831-position model. Lineage: Eukaryota; Metazoa; Arthropoda; Malacostraca; Amphipoda; Gammarellidae. The record is from RNAcentral.
CGAUAACGAACGAGACUCUCUCCUGCUAACUAGUCGGUUGGAUCUUGCUCGGUGAGUCGUGUGCCGGGAACACUCGGGCGUCCGUGGCGCGUACGGGAAUUUGUGGUGGUCUGGUGUGUCGUUGGUGUUUGUGUAGCUACGGUUGCGCUUCAUCUCGGCGUGCUUUUCCGCUCUUUUUUUCACGCGUGUACACGGGUUUCGUUCGAACCUCGGGCCACACACUCCAAGUCCGCCGCUUAUGCUAUAACUCUUCUUAGAGGGAUUCACGGUACUGAAGCCGUCAGAAACUGAGAGCAAUAACAGGUCUGUGAUGCCCUUAGAUGCUCUGGGCCGCACGCGCGCUACAAUGCCGGGCACAGCAGGUAUCUCUCCCGCUCCGACAGGAGCGGGUAACCCUCUGAAAGCCCUUGGUUUUUCUCUCGUGUCUCUGAGAUACGAUCGGCGUGCUUGGGCCUGGGGCUUGAAAUUCUUUCCCACAAACGAGGAAUGCCUAGUAGCGGCGGGUCACUGAGCCCGCUGUGACUCAGUCCCUGCCCUUUGUACACACCGCCCGUCGCUACUACCGAUUGGGUGUACCAGUGAGAGCCUUGGACUGGCGUCCGUUGCCUUCGGGCAAGCGGUUUUCGACGGAAAGAGGUUCGAACUGAUGCACUUA